Long non-coding RNA from Armigeres subalbatus, 615 nucleotides. RefSeq lists it as uncharacterized. The record is from RefSeq and is a predicted model, not a curated record. NCBI's taxonomy places the organism in Eukaryota, Metazoa, Arthropoda, Insecta, Diptera, Culicidae. The transcript has 3 exons.
GCUUAUGUUUACGAUAUCCAAACACAUCUUCAUAAAAUCGAAGACCACUUUAUCAAGGAUAAUGUGGUCUUCGCGUAUACGGUUGUGGCCAUGGCGUCAAAUUUGGUGUUAAUAUUCAGGAAGCAAUAGUUUAAUUUGCAGAUGAAAGACUCGAAUAGAAACGUCUCCGCAAACCAACCUGUAAACCACCGUUCAAACGCCGUCGAUUGUAUCUCAUCAUUUUCUCGCGAUCCAACGUAUGUGUUCAUCGCCAGCUUCAAUCUAUAGAAUUCCGGUUAAGAACCGAUGGUUUAAACACCAGUCGGAUAUUUAGGAUCGCUACCGGUAAAUUAUGGGAUAAUUUCUGGAAGUCUGCCUACAUAUGAAACACCUACGCAUAAUCCCCCGCCAUCAAACGCCUAUACACGACCUGGGAAGACCGCUAGCAGUUGAGCAUGCGUAGCGUUCGUACUGGCCUUCUAAAGAGCAACAAUUAUAUCCCAUACUUUUCUCCGACGACGCACCAUACGAUUGUUCCGGAAAUGAUCAUUGCUAGCGUAGAAACAAGGCCAACGAUUCUAAUAUCCAAACAAACGUUCAUUGAUCAUCGGAGCAUCGAAGAUAAGUAUAUAUACA